CCUACGGUAGGCAGCAGUGGGGAAUAUUGCACAAUGGGGGAAACCCUGAUGCAGCGACGCCGCGUGAAGGAAGAAGUAUCUCGGUAUGUAAACUUCUAUCAGCAGGGAAGAAAAUGACGGUACCUGAAACAGAAGCCCCGGCUAACUACGUGCCAGCAGCCGCGGUAAUACGUAGGGGGCAAGCGUUAUCCGGAUUUACUGGGUGUAAAGGGAGCGUAGACGGAAAGGCAAGUCAGAAGUGAAAGCCCAAGGCUCAACCAUGGGACUGCUUUUGACACUGUCAAACUAGAGUACGGGAGAGGUAAGAGGAAUUCCUAGUGUAGCGGUGAAAUGCGUAGAUAUUAGGAGGAACACCAGUGGCGAAGGCGUCUUACUGGACCGAAACUGACGUUGAGGCUCGAAAGCGUGGGGAGCAAACAGGAUUAGAUACCCUAGUAGUC
Molecule: ribosomal RNA, 440 nt
Filed under: uncultured bacterium
Lineage: Bacteria
Description: partial 16S ribosomal RNA
Rfam family: Bacterial small subunit ribosomal RNA
Source: RNAcentral